UAAGGAAUAUUGCUCAAUGGCCGAAAGGCUGAAGCAGCAACGCCGCGUGAAGGAUUAAGGGAUUUUUCUUGUAAACUUCUGUAAGAGGGGAAAAAUAUCCCGGUUUACCGGGAUUGAUUGUACCUUCAGAGUAAGCCCCGGCUAACUACGUGCCAGCAGCCGCGGUAAUACGUAGGGGGCAAGCGUUGUCCGGAUUUACUGGGUGUAAAGGGUGCUCAGGCGGGUUUGUAAGUCAGAGGUGAAACUCCGAAGCUUAACUUCGGAACUGCCUUUGAUACUGCAAUCCUGGAGUUUGAGAGAGGCGAGUGGAAUAUCUGGUGUAGCAGUGAAAUGCGUAGAUAUCAGAUAGAACACCAAUGGCGAAGGCAGCUCGCUGGCUCAAUACUGACGCUAAAGCACGAAAGUGUGGGUAGCAAACAGG
This 421-nucleotide ribosomal RNA is filed under the name uncultured bacterium. RNAcentral's name for it is "bacterial SSU rRNA". It matches the Rfam family "Bacterial small subunit ribosomal RNA", at positions 355 to 776 of the family's 1533-position model. The record is from RNAcentral.